RNAcentral lists this small nuclear RNA (145 nucleotides) under Pogona vitticeps (central bearded dragon). Its description in RNAcentral is "U1 spliceosomal RNA (ENSPVIG00000006789.1)". It matches the Rfam family "U1 spliceosomal RNA". From Rfam's summary of the family: U1 is a small nuclear RNA (snRNA) component of the spliceosome (involved in pre-mRNA splicing). Its 5' end forms complementary base pairs with the 5' splice junction, thus defining the 5' donor site of an intron. Lineage: Eukaryota; Metazoa; Chordata; Lepidosauria; Squamata; Agamidae. The record is from Rfam by way of RNAcentral.
ACUCAUACCUGGCAGGGGAGAUACCAUGAUCAUGAAAGUGGUUUUCCCAGGAUGAGGCUCAUCCAUUGCACUUCGGGUGUGCUAAUGCGGGAAAUUCAACUGCAUAAUUUGUGGUAGUAGGGGACUGUGUUUUCAGUUUCCCCUG